ACGGAAGGCAGCAGUGGGGAAUAUUGCACAAUGGAGGAAACUCUGAUGCAGCGACGCCGCGUGAGUGUAGAAGUAUUUCGGUAUGUAAAGCUCUAUCAGCAGGGAAGAUAAUGACGGUACCUGACUAAGAAGCCCCGGCUAAAUACGUGCCAGCAGCCGCGGUAAUACGUAUGGAGCAAGCGUUAUCCGGAUUUACUGGGUGUAAAGGGAGCGUAGACGGCAUAGCAAGUCUGAUGUGAAAUCCCCGGGCUCAACCCGGGAACUGCAUUGGAAACUGUUAAGCUAGAGUGCAGGAGAGGUAAGUGGAAUUCCUAGUGUAGCGGUGAAAUGCGUAGAUAUUAGGAGGAACACCAGUGGCGAAGGCGGCUUACUGGACUGUAACUGACGUUGAGGCUCGAAAGCGUGGGGAGCAAACAGGAUUAGAUACCCUGGUA
Molecule: ribosomal RNA, 434 nt
Filed under: uncultured Lachnospiraceae bacterium
Lineage: Bacteria; Bacillati; Bacillota; Clostridia; Lachnospirales; Lachnospiraceae
Description: partial 16S ribosomal RNA
Rfam family: Bacterial small subunit ribosomal RNA
Source: RNAcentral